CCUACGGGGGGCAGCAGUGAGGAAUAUUGGUCAAUGGGCUUACGCCUGAACCAGCCAAGUCGCGUGAGGGAAGACUGCCCUAUGGGUUGUAAACCUCUUUUGUCAGGGAGCACUUUGCGCUACGUGUAGCGUUAUCGAGAGUACCUGAAGACAAAGCCUCGGCUAACUCCGUGCCAGCAGCCGCGGUAAUACGGAGGAUGCGAGGGUUAUCCGGAUUUAUUGGGUUUAAAGGGUGCGUAGGCGGAAUGCCAAGUCAGCGGUAAAAUCGGGGGGCUAAACCUCGCUUCGCCGUUGAAACUGGCGGUCUUGAGUAGGCGAGAGGUAUGCGGAAUGAGUGGUGUAGCGGUGAAAGGCAUAGAUAUCACGAAGAACUCCGAUUGCGAAGGCAGCAUACCGGAGCCCAACUGACGCUGAAGCACGAAAGCGUGGGUAUCGAACAGGAUUAGAUACCCCGGUAGUC
Molecule: ribosomal RNA, 460 nt
Filed under: uncultured bacterium
Lineage: Bacteria
Description: partial 16S ribosomal RNA
Rfam family: Bacterial small subunit ribosomal RNA
Source: RNAcentral